This 513-nucleotide ribosomal RNA is filed under the name uncultured bacterium. RNAcentral describes it as "partial 16S ribosomal RNA". It matches the Rfam family "Bacterial small subunit ribosomal RNA", at positions 28 to 507 of the family's 1533-position model. The record is from RNAcentral.
GACGAACGCUGGCGGCGUGCUUAACACAUGCAAGUCGAACGAGAGCGUAGAGAAAGCUUGCUUUUUCUACAAUCUAGUGGCAAACGGGUGAGUAACGCGUAAACAACCUGCCCUACGGAUGGGGACAACAGCUGGAAACGGCUGCUAAUACCGAAUACGUUCCGAAAGUCGCAUGACUAUCGGAAGAAAGGAUGGCCUCUAUUUAUAAGCUAUCGCCGGAGGAGGGGUUUGCGUCUGAUUAGCUAGUUGGAGGGGUAACGGCCCACCAAGGCGACGAUCAGUAGCCGGUCUGAGAGGAUGAACGGCCACAUUGGAACUGAGACACGGUCCAGACUCCUACGGGAGGCAGCAGUGGGGAAUCUUCCGCAAUGGGCGAAAGCCUGGCGGAGCAACGCCGCGUGAGUGAAGACGGCCUUCGGGUUGUAAAGCUCUGUUAUACGGGACGAAUAAUCUUGUGGUUAAUACCCAUGAGAAGUGACGGUACCGGAAGAGAAAGCCACGGCUAACUACGUG